GCCAGCAUGGCCUUGUGGUUUGAGUGUUGGACUUGGACUCUGGAGACCAGGGUUCGAUUCCCAGCACAGCCA
Phrynosoma platyrhinos (Desert horned lizard) is the source of this 72-nucleotide non-coding RNA. NCBI's taxonomy places the organism in Eukaryota, Metazoa, Chordata, Lepidosauria, Squamata, Phrynosomatidae. The record is from the annotation of a GenBank genome assembly.